This 418-nucleotide unclassified non-coding RNA is filed under the name soil metagenome. Its description in RNAcentral is "partial contains 5.8S ribosomal RNA, internal transcribed spacer 2, and large subunit ribosomal RNA". The stretch from base 1 to 120 matches the Rfam family "5.8S ribosomal RNA", at positions 35 to 154 of the family's 154-position model. The record is from RNAcentral.
GAUGAAGAACGCAGCGAAAUGCGAUAAGUAAUGUGAAUUGCAGAAUUCAGUGAAUCAUCGAAUCUUUGAACGCAUCUUGCGCUCCUUGGUAUUCCUUGGAGCAUGCCUGUUUGAGUAUCAUGAGCAAAUCUCAAAGUCAAUUCCUUUUGUUGAUUCAAUUGGUUUUGCUUUGGACUUGGAGGCCUUGCAGAUUUCACAGUCUGCUCCUCUUAAAUGCAUUAGCUGGAUCUCAGUAAUUAUGCUUGGUUCCACUCGGCGUGAUAAGUAUCACUCGCUGAGGACACUGUUAAAAAGGUGGCCAGGAAAAUACUGAUUGAACCGCUUCUAACGGUCUAUUAAGUUAGACAAUUACCCUUAAGUUUGAUCUCAAAUCAGGUAGGACUACCCGCUGAACUUAAGCACAUCAAUAAGCGGAGGA